AUAACCAGUGAAAUCGUUAGCUGACGAUUUGCAGAACACUAUCCCUUUAAAGGGCUAGAUUAUAUGUCCCGUUGAGAUUGGGGACAAGAAACACUGGGAAACGUGACCGAAAAAUUUGCCUCUGUUUAUUCAACCACUAUUUUAUUUAGAUCUGCCCAGUGAAACGUGGUGCCUCUACACAGGUGAUCUGUGUAUGAUCCGGGCUGACAGAUGCCAACACGGAGGUACACAGGGACACACGGGAAAGAGCACCCCCCCCGUGUGUCUAAGGAUGGCGAGGGGAAGGUUGCCAGGAAAGGCAGGGGCAGUAAAACGUGACAUUAGCCUUCCCACGUGCAGUAAUUACCUGAAAGCGGGAAAGGAAAGGCUACUAAGGGAACCAACCAUCUUCCAUCCAUCCAAAGCCUGUGGUGUGAGAAACUGCUGUUUUUACACAGGUUCUCUCAUCCCGUGGGCACAGCUAUUAGGCCAGGUAGGAAGUAUCUAAAAUUUACCUGUGAGGAAGCCAGCUCACAGAAGCUAAGGAAAAAUGAACUUUCAUAAAAUGAGGAGAUACUGAAAUGUAGGUCGAAGGACUGCUAAAAACAGUAGGGAAAUGGACCACAGAGCAAAGAGCCCAGGGAAAAAGGCAGCAAAGCAGUUCUCCAGGGUGAGGGCCACAGCAGGUAGCACUGACACUUCCUGGGACCUUGUUUCGUUCACAGUUGCCAAGGAAGCAGGGUUGAGUGAGAAAUCAUCCUGACAGACCACCACUUGGAGGAAACGUCUGUCUGAGAUUGGGCCGUGAAAGAGGAAAGGCUUUUAAAUGUUCACAUUUAAACUUGGGUCACAAGGAAAAUUCCUGCCAGGACAUGAAAAUGUAAAUCUGAAGGCAGGAUGGAUAUAAUCUAAAAAGAAGGGCUUUAAAUUGACUAAUAUCAAAACCAGAUCAAAAUAUUAAGUCGUAUACUAAAACUCCUGCCACGUCAUCAUUAGCGUCAUCAAUCUUCUCAACGACGUCAAUAAGAACAAUGGCUUUUUCUCUUUCUAUGGUUUUAGAGAUACUAGUCUGCCAUGUUUGUCUUCAGUAAGCAAGCUCCUCAGAAAGGAGGACUGCACCCUCCCAGUUUCUCUCCAGUCUGAGCCGCCGGAUGCAUGAGAACUCGCAAAGUACGUUCUCUUUUGUGGGGAGAGCUCAGCAUCUACCCAACGGACCCAGCAACAACUGCUAUCUCUGGAAAAACAAAACCUCCACUGUUACCCGUCUGACUCUGUGAGGCUCAGAAGGGACACACCAUCCCAAGUCCCCAUACUGAAGUCUCAUCUAAGCAAAGAGCACUAAAAUCAUGAAUGGAAACAUCUGCUCCUCGUGGCUAGCAGCAACCUUCAGCGGAGAUGUGUGCCUGACUGCAUGUACCCCCUUCACCAGAAUCACAUAGAUACUGACCUCUCCCCUGCUACCUCUUCGGAUCAGUUCCUCAGAGCUGAGAGGCUGUCUCCCAGGCUACGGUCCUCAUUAAGUCCCAAAUAAAACUGAAUUCACAGCUCUCACGUUGUCCGGUUUUUUUUUGUUUUUUUUUUUUUUUUGGUCGACACUAGAAUCCCCAGUGAAGGGAACCACCCCAAAGGACACUGGAUUGUAGAAUCAUAGACCCAUAAAAUGUGAGCCCUAGAAAGGCAAAAGAGACCAAGUACUCAACCCCUUAAUUUAU
This is a long non-coding RNA of Aethalodelphis obliquidens (Pacific white-sided dolphin), 1691 nucleotides long. RefSeq lists it as uncharacterized. The transcript has 4 exons. Lineage: Eukaryota; Metazoa; Chordata; Mammalia; Artiodactyla; Delphinidae. The record is from RefSeq and is a predicted model, not a curated record.